UUAAUUCCUACCCGUGGGGCGUUGUUGUGUGGCAGAUGACAUACGAUUCUAUGUCACAGGCGAGUGAGAGAGUCUGUUCUGGACGGAUGUCAAAAAUCUGUAAAUACGAUUUUUACAAAUUUUCGUUCGUAUUUCAGUUUUGGAUAUACGAGACUCUAGAGACGUUACACGAUUGGAUUGACUUUGUCGAUCUCUAUUCGUCCCCCCGGAUGUUGAGGUGGCGUACGCGAGACGUCCCUAGUUAGACUCAUAUAGGCGUAUUUUCAGUGGUGAUCCGGAGGAUGUUACAUUCCCUCUUGAGCCAUCAUCGAUCGAGGAGGGUUUACCGUGGUAUGCUGAGAUUCGUGAGUACACCGGUUUACCUGAUGCUGAUUCUUCCUCAUCUUCUUCGGUUUCGAUCGCUACUACAAACGGGGCUUCUCCAUCCUCAGGCCCUUCAGAUGUACCCGUCGAGACUUCUGAGACACAUGAGGAGCCCAUUCAGCAUCCUGUUAUGGAUCAGUCGAUAUGUUCCCCUGUUGUUCAGAGUCCACGGACAGACCAUCCUGCAGUGGAGGACCACCCUGGACUAGAGGACGAUUCCACCCAUCAUGCCACCAAGCAAUGUCCCCCAUUCGUAUCACCCAGUUUUUCUACAUUAGAUGCUACAUUAGCACACUGGGGUGCUACGAUUUUACGUGAGAUAUCGAGUUUUCGUGAUGAUAUCU
This is a long non-coding RNA of Mangifera indica (mango), 707 nucleotides long. RefSeq lists it as uncharacterized. The transcript is spliced from 3 exons. The record is from RefSeq and is a predicted model, not a curated record. NCBI's taxonomy places the organism in Eukaryota, Viridiplantae, Streptophyta, Magnoliopsida, Sapindales, Anacardiaceae.